UACGGAGGGUGCAAGCGUUGUUCGGAAUCAUUGGGCGUAAAGGGCGUGUAGGCGGUCCGGUAAGUCGGGUGUGAAAGCCCUGGGCUCAACCCAGGAAGUGCAUCCGAAACUGCUGGACUUGAGUACGGGAGAGGGAAGUGGAAUUCCUGGUGUAGGGGUGAAAUCCGUAGAUAUCAGGAGGAACACCGGUGGCGAAGGCGACUUCCUGGACCGAUACUGACGCUGAGGCGCGAAAGCGUGGGGAGCAAACAGG
RNAcentral lists this ribosomal RNA (253 nucleotides) under uncultured bacterium. Its description in RNAcentral is "partial 16S ribosomal RNA". It matches the Rfam family "Bacterial small subunit ribosomal RNA", at positions 524 to 776 of the family's 1533-position model. The record is from RNAcentral.